Long non-coding RNA from Cucurbita maxima (winter squash), 1530 nucleotides. RefSeq lists it as uncharacterized. Lineage: Eukaryota; Viridiplantae; Streptophyta; Magnoliopsida; Cucurbitales; Cucurbitaceae. The record is from RefSeq and is a predicted model, not a curated record. The transcript has 3 exons.
UGUUGAUUGAUAAAAUUCAUUUCCAGGGCAUGAAGAAAGAGGAAGGCUUAGAGCUUGGAAAUUAAAAUUUCUUCAAUUGCGUGAAACCGUUUCUAGCUUUGGCGUGGGAACUCUCGAUCAUAUAGAAAUCUCAAGAACGUUCCGAGCUGCAAUUUUGACUCUGAAACGUUCCUCUACAGAAUUCAGUCUGGCCAGAGCAAUUCGGAAGUGCAACGGUAGGUAAUUCCGGUAGCGCCGGUACUGUAGAAGGCGACGGCAAAGAUAUAUCCUGCAUUUCAUGUGACCGGCAAGUUUCACUCCGCCAGUCUAUGGGUGGUGGCAAAGCGGCUGAUGUUCUACUGCGGAAACAGCGGCAUGUUUCUUUCGGCAUUGUUGUCGUUGCGACCGUGUUUUGGCUUUUAAUUGAGCACUCUGGGAUGCCAUUGCUAACAAUAAGUUCAGAUGUCUUGCUGGUUUUGGUUGUCCUAUUGUUUCUUCGUGCCAACUUUGCUGCGCUUCGUCUCAAAAGAUGGUAUGUUUUUCCUUGUUAGCUCUUCUUCACAGUGAAUCGACAUAGCAUACAUAGCAUUUCACAGCAAGAAUCACAUACAUAAACAUGGCAUACAUAAACAUCUAGCCUAGCAUACAUCAACAAUACACAUGGUGCUUGCAAGGGCACACACCAACAUACAUACAUAACUAAUACCAACAGUAAGUUUACUUACCUCUUUGGCCUUGGCCGAAGUCACCCACAAAGCUAACUCCAGCAAUAACAUGAUACACUUAGAGCCCUUUCACAACUAUCCCUUAUGCCGAACUACCAAGGUACGUCUUUAUCGCAAGCUAUUUUGUCAACAUGGAGUUAUACUGACCUUAGAUUGUUGAAACAAGGGUGGGAAUGGCUCUAGGGGUCGAAAACCUAGGAAUCGGUAUACUAUUCGGAUGUCGAGACGUCGAGCCGGGAGUGCGUUGAGCCGCCGAUGGAGCUGAAACCGAUGGCUUCGACGAACACUGUCGGCGCAGGGUCUCUGGGCGCGCCUCCGGUUUGGGCCGAAAGGGAACGAGGCCCAGGGAUGGUGUCCGAGUGCGGCCUGCGAGGUGCGGGCUGCACGCUGGCCGAGACGACUCGCGGAAUGCCGAGGGCCGACCCACGUCUGCCGCUUCGUCUUCGUCUUCUUCGUCUUCCUCGCGGUAUCAGAGUUUGGCUGCUGUCGCCGGUGGUAGUUUUUCCAAGGACAAGGAUCAAUGAAAAAUGCUGACUAUAAUUUUCUUAAGUUGUAUUAAACCACAGGAAAAUUGUAACACUGUUUCAUCCCAAAUGAAUGCCUGGCUAACUGGACUCUUGAAGGCUAUUGCUCGGCCGUGUAUACCUAGGUUUAAUGAUUUGAUUUGAACCACCCUGAUCAAAUAUCACAGAUUCUUGUUCUUAGUUGCUACAGAAAAAGAUGAGGGUUGGUUUGUUUAUCAAAUUCCACUUUGUCAAAUAUGGAUCAGCCCACAGAAAGGCCCAUUGUUGAAUGCCAAACAGAUAUGGAUCAUUCACAUUUGGUA